AGCCAUGCGAGUCGAGAGGGUUCGGCCCUCGGCUGACGGCUCAGUAACACGUGGAUAAUCUGCCCUUAGGUGGAGGAUAACCUCGGGAAACUGAGAAUAAUACUCCAUAGGCCUAGGAUGCUGGAAUGCACUUAGGCUCAAAGUUCCGGCGCCUAAGGAUGAGUCUGCGGACUAUCAGGUUGUAGUCAGGGUAAUGACCUGACUAGCCUACGACGGAUACGGGUUGUGAGAGCAAUAACCCGGAGAUGAUAUCUGAGACACGAUAUCAGGCCCUACGGGGCGCAGCAGGCGCGAAAACUUCACAAUGCGCGAAAGCGCGAUGAGGGAAUCCCAAGUGCUUGCACGUAAGUGUAAGCUGUUUUUAUGUUUAAAAAGCAUAGAGAGUAAGGGCUGGGUAAGACGGGUGCCAGCCGCCGCGGUAAUACCUGCAGCUCAAGUGGUGGCCGCUAUUAUUGGGCCUAAAACGUCCGUAGCCGGUUUAAUAAAUGCCCGGGUAAAUCGUGUAGCUUAACUAUACGAAUUCCGGGUAGACUGUUAAACUUGAGACCGGGAGAAGUUAGAGGUACUCCUGGGGUAGAGGUGAAAUUCUGUAAUCCUAGGGGGACCACCGGUGGCGAAGGCGUCUGACUAGAACGGGUCCGACGGUGAGGGACGAAGCUCUGGGGCGCAAACCGGAUUAGAUACCCGGGUAGUCCAGGGUGUAAACGCUG
This 710-nucleotide ribosomal RNA is filed under the name uncultured archaeon. Its description in RNAcentral is "bacterial SSU rRNA". It matches the Rfam family "Archaeal small subunit ribosomal RNA", at positions 47 to 762 of the family's 1478-position model. The record is from RNAcentral.